UGGGGAAUCUUGGACAAUGGGGGCAACCCUGAUCCAGCCAUGCCGCGUGAGUGAUGAAGGCCUUAGGGUCGUAAAGCUCUUUCGCCUGUGAAGAUAAUGACGGUAGCAGGUAAAGAAACCCCGGCUAACUCCGUGCCAGCAGCCGCGGUAAUACGGAGGGGGUUAGCGUUGUUCGGAAUUACUGGGCGUAAAGCGCACGUAGGCGGACCAGAAAGUUGGGGGUGAAAUCCCGGGGGCUCAACCCCGGAACUGCCUCCAAAACUAUUGGUCUAGAGUUCGAGAGAGGUGAGUGGAAUUCCAAGUGUAGAGGUGAAAUUCGUAGAUAUUUGGAGGAACACCAGUGGCGAAGGCGGCUCACUGGCUCGAUACUGACGCUGAGGUGCGAAAGUGUGGGGAGCAAACAGGAUUAGAUACCCUGGGUAGUCCACGCCGUAAAACGAUGAGUGCUAGUCGUCGGCAGGGCAUGCCUGUCGGUGAC
This 478-nucleotide ribosomal RNA is filed under the name uncultured bacterium. RNAcentral's name for it is "bacterial SSU rRNA". It matches the Rfam family "Bacterial small subunit ribosomal RNA", at positions 355 to 847 of the family's 1533-position model. The record is from RNAcentral.